RNAcentral lists this ribosomal RNA (422 nucleotides) under uncultured Chitinophagaceae bacterium. RNAcentral describes it as "bacterial SSU rRNA". It matches the Rfam family "Bacterial small subunit ribosomal RNA", at positions 355 to 774 of the family's 1533-position model. The record is from RNAcentral. Lineage: Bacteria; Pseudomonadati; Bacteroidota; Chitinophagia; Chitinophagales; Chitinophagaceae.
UAAGGAAUAUUGGGCAAUGGACGCAAGUCUGACCCAGCCAUGCCGCGUGGAGGAUGAAGGCCCUCUGGGUUGUAAACUUCUUUUAUUUGGGAAGAAAUGUAGGUUUUCUAACUUAUUUGACGGUACCAGAUGAAUAAGCACCGGCUAACUCCGUGCCAGCAGCCGCGGUAAUACGGAGGGUGCAAGCGUUAUCCGGAUUCACUGGGUUUAAAGGGUGCGUAGGCGGGCAGUUAAGUCAGUGGUGAAAUCUCUAGGCUCAACCUAGAAACUGCCGUUGAUACUAUCUGUCUUGAAUAACGUUGAGGUGAGCGGAAUAUGUCAUGUAGCGGUGAAAUGCUUAGAUAUGACAUAGAACACCGAUUGCGAAGGCAGCUCACUAAACGCUCAUUGACGCUGAGGCACGAAAGCGUGGGGAUCAAACA